AUUGAACGCUGGCGGCAGGCCUAACACAUGCAAGUCGAACGGUAACAGGAAGAAGCUUGCUUCUUUGCUGACGAGUGGCGGACGGGUGAGUAAUGUCUGGGAAACUGCCUGAUGGAGGGGGAUAACUACUGGAAACGGUAGCUAAUACCGCAUAACGUCGCAAGACCAAAGAGGGGGAGCUUCGGGCCUCUUGCCAUCGGAUGUGCCCAGAUGGGUUUAGUUAGUAGGUGGGGUAACGGCUCACCUAGGCGACGAUCCCUAGCUGGUCUGAGAGGAUGACAAGCCACACUGGACCUGAGACACGGUCCAGACUCCUACGGGAGGCAGCAGUGGGGAAUAUUGCACAAUGGGCGAAAGCCUGAUGCAGCCAUGCCGCGUGUAUGAAGAAGGCCUUCGGGUUGUAAAGUCCUUUCAGCGGGGAGGAAGGGAGUAAAGUUAAUACCUUUGCUCAUGGACGUUACCCGCAGAAGAAACACCGGCUAACUCCGU
This 489-nucleotide ribosomal RNA is filed under the name uncultured bacterium. Its description in RNAcentral is "partial 16S ribosomal RNA". It matches the Rfam family "Bacterial small subunit ribosomal RNA", at positions 30 to 506 of the family's 1533-position model. The record is from RNAcentral.